AUUGAACGCUGGCGGCGUGCCUAACACAUGCAAGUCGAGCGGUAACGCGGGAGCAAUCCAGGCGACGAGCGGCGAACGGGUGAGUAAUGCUUCGGAAUCUGCCCUUUGGUGGGGAAUAACUAGCCGAAAGGUUAGCUAAUACCGCAUACGACCUACGGGUGAAAGCAGGGGAUCGCAAGACCUUGCGCCGAUGGAUGAGCCGAAGUCGGAUUAGCUAGUUGGUAGGGUAACGGCCUACCAAGGCGACAAUCCGUAGCUGGUCUGAGAGGACGACCAGCCACACUGGGACUGAGACACGGCCCAGACUCCUACGGGAGGCAGCAGUGGGGAAUAUUGGACAAUGGGGGCAACCCUGAUCCAGCGACGCCGCGUGUGUGAAGAAGGCCUGCGGGUUGUAAAGCACUUUUAGUGGGGAUGAAAAGCUCAGGGCUAAUACCUCUGGGUCUUGACCUAACCCACAGAAAAAGCACCGGCUAACUCUGUGCCAGCAGCCGCGGUAAUACAGAGGGUGCAAGCGUUAAUCGGAAUUACUGGGCGUAAAGCGUGCGUAGACGGUUAUUUAAGUCGGGUGUGAAAGCCCCGGGCUCAACCUGGGAAUUGCAUUCGAGACUGAAUAGCUAGGGUGCGGAAGAGGGAAGCGGAAUUUCCGGUGUAGCGGUGAAAUGCGUAGAUAUCGGAAGGAACACCAGUGGCGAAACGCGGCUUCCUGGUCCAGCACCGACGUUCAGGCACGAAAAGCGUGGGGGAGCAAACAGGAUUAGAUACCCUGGUAG
Molecule: ribosomal RNA, 773 nt
Filed under: uncultured bacterium
Lineage: Bacteria
Description: bacterial SSU rRNA
Rfam family: Bacterial small subunit ribosomal RNA
Source: RNAcentral